This 335-nucleotide ribosomal RNA is filed under the name uncultured Glomeromycotina. RNAcentral describes it as "eukaryotic LSU rRNA". The record is from RNAcentral. Lineage: Eukaryota; Fungi; Glomeromycota.
CAGCAGUUUGGGUGGGGUUAGGGGUUCAGGAAGUUGAAGGCAGGGUCAAACCGUUUUCUCUUUUGAACUUGGAAUUUGUCAGAAUGCACUUUUUCUUUGGCAGGUCAGCGUCGAUUUCGGAGGUUGUAAAAUACUUGGGGAAAAGUAGCUCUGCUUCGGGAGAGUGUUAUAGACCUUGGGUGAUGCGGCCUGCGGGAUCGAGGAUUGCAGCAAAUGCUUUUGGCUUGUCGCCUGAUCUCUGGACGUCAUCUCGCUUGUAUCAACAUUCUUGGUACCGGUGAGUAAUGGUGCUCAUAGGUUAGAGCGAUCAAAAAUUUGCUAAGGAUGCUGACGUA